CUCGCCAUGUUAUCAGGGAAUCGCCAUAUUAUCAGAUAAACAAAAUGCGAUCCAAUAGGCCUUGUGAAGAUAGCUUAUCUUUCAGGGAUAAUUGACACAUGGAUCCUUAUUAAUUCCACUGCCAUUAUUUUGUCUGACUGCCACUUCAGCCACCAAGCUCUCCAACACUACCCUAUCACCAAAAACAGUUUACCAUUUGCAAAACCCAGCGGUGGCGUCUCACAGUUUCCUUGCUAGAUAAUUUGCGAGUGUUUGUGAGGUUUUUUUCAGAGGAGCUAGUUCCUGAAAGAAGUUUGAGAGUGUGUUCUGGCGUCUGGGUUUAGGCAUAGUUAUAAUCGGACAGUACCAUCACCUAACCUAGAGACAAAAUGGUGGGAAUGGGGUAGUCCACCCACGAGAGGAGACCGCGAAGGGCCGAGUCCCGCCCACCCACGACCAGGACCGCGGACUUGGACCAUUGAUCCGUACCCUUCGAAAUUUGAAUCCUGAAUGCCAACGCGUUCGCGUUGUCACGAGUACGGGAUGCGUUUUUGCGUGGCAGCGGACGUGAAUGCCGCUGGAUAACCGUUGGCAUAGCCUGUUUUAGUUGGUCAAGUAAGCCGCGGUGAGCUAAUAUGGACCAUUUCAAUUCAGAAAGGUCUGAGACGGGAUUGCGAUGGCAUCAUGGGAUUGCCAAGACAUGUCCACGUGUAUGGCGGAUGUGUUGGAGGACGUAUAAUAACAGACACUGUUUUUUUUUUGGGGGGU
This 747-nucleotide long non-coding RNA is filed under the name Elaeis guineensis (African oil palm). RNAcentral describes it as "long non-coding RNA (EGUI_LNC023957)". The record is from RNAcentral. Lineage: Eukaryota; Viridiplantae; Streptophyta; Magnoliopsida; Arecales; Arecaceae.